CUUGAUGAAGCAGCAGGAACAACACUGCUGAGAAGCACUGCUCAUAAGAAACUCGCCUUCUUGACCUCUGGCUGCUGCCCACUGCCUCUGUCCACCCCCUUGACCACUUUCCACAGGCAGAAACAAAUCCAACCCCCCUCCCCCACCAGCUGUAAUCGGAGGCUGAGGAGCUAAAAGUGGCAAAAACCCUGGAAGAGGCUUGGCAGAGGAAUGUAUUAUGAAGAAAGUCCUCAGAACUGCAAAGCAAACUGCCAGUCUGAGUGCACUCUGAAGGAGUGGCUUCCCAUGAAGGGGAAACCGUGGCAGGGGUGACCCCCACAGCCCCUUGGCCCGGCAGAAUGGAUCCAGAGCCCCCAGGCAGACCCUGCCGACACAGUUUCAGAACAUGAUCUAGUCUCAACACCAGCAGGAGUAAAGGAGCAGGACAAAGGAACAACAACUCCUGUUAUCCAAAACUUCCCCAAAUUCUCAUCUCCAAGACCCAUUUGACUCCCAGCCUGCCCAGAAUGCAACUGCUGACCCCCCAGAUUCUUGGAACGCAACAAAAAUCCCAAUUCUGCUUUCCCAGAAACGCUAUGGGUAGAUGAUUCUGCAGAGGAAUGGGAAGAUGCCCUGUAGCAGCACCAGUGACACAGGCUAUCCCAGAAGAAACCAAGGACAUAACCAAAGAUGGAAGUUGAUUUGAUUUCCUCUUUUUGGGAACUGGGGCAUUGUUUACACUGCCUGGGGAAACCUCAGAUAUGCCAGGACAAGGGAAGGAACCCUGAACAAAACCCAAAAUCCCCUCAGAGGAGGAUGAAGGCUUUGUACCACUCUGAAUUCGAGUCCCAGAACUAGUGAAGAAGAAGGAAGAAAAUAGGAGGAGGCAAAGAAAUCACGACUUUUUUUUUUUUUUAUUGCUCAUGAAACCAUAUGGAAGAGGGUGAGGACUGAAAGAACAUACUUUCUACACUUUGCUGUAUUUGCAGAAUGUAUUGCCAUAACUUGUGUGACAGAA
This is a long non-coding RNA of Zonotrichia leucophrys gambelii, 997 nucleotides long. RefSeq lists it as uncharacterized. The transcript is spliced from 3 exons. NCBI's taxonomy places the organism in Eukaryota, Metazoa, Chordata, Aves, Passeriformes, Passerellidae. The record is from RefSeq and is a predicted model, not a curated record.